Acanthosepion pharaonis is the source of this 84-nucleotide non-coding RNA. NCBI's taxonomy places the organism in Eukaryota, Metazoa, Mollusca, Cephalopoda, Sepiida, Sepiidae. The record is from the annotation of a GenBank genome assembly.
UCUCGUUCGAUCACCGAAAUUAAGCAACGUCCAGCCUGGUCAGUACCUAGAUGGGUGACUGCUUGGGAAUACCAGGUGCUGUAA